GAAAACAUACCAAUUUUUCCUUUUCUGCGCCUGAAGUUUUGGCAAAUGCGAUGUCUAGAUUUAUCUGUAUUAUAUUUGUUCGAUAUGUAGUAUAGACUAAUAUAUUCGCACAUUUUUGUUAUAAUUUCGUCUUUUUCAACGCUUUACUUUAGAAUUUUUCUUUACUCACAGGAUACACCUUUACUCGCCGCGUAAAAGAUAGAUUCAAGCAAUUGAAGAGUUGACACCAGAAAAUAGUAAUUGUAAUAUGAAUCUUAAAAACUAUAUCAUACUAUAUGCGCUUGACAAAUAGUACAAAAUAAUCCAUUUAUCAAAUAGCAUAUUAGUAAACAUAAUUGUCUUACUAACUGCACUAGUCAACCCAAACAAAAUGAAAACACCCAACCCAUGGAACACAAUAAAGGCCAAAAUAUAUUACAAUUUUCCAUUAUCAACUGCCCUAGUCAACCUAAAAAAAAGAGGAAAGAUGAUGAAGAGAAGAGGAAAAAAAAGAAGGACAGAGAGAAUGAGGAGAAUAAGAAGGAAUGAAGAGAAGAAGAAGAUGGAGAAAGAUGAAAUAGAAAAAUAUAUUGUAUCACUAAAAUAGAAUAGUAUGUAGUAUUUACAAUAUAUUAUAACCAAUUACAUAUUGGUUGUUCGAGGAGAGAACAAAAUGAAAAUAUAGAAAAUAUGAGAGAAGAUGUAGAGUUUUGACUGAGUUAAAACUCUAGACAAAUCAAUUUAUAUAAAAUUAUCUAAUCUAUAUAUUUAAAUAUAGGAUAUCAUUUGAAGUAGAAAUUAGACUAUAUUAUAUGAAUUUACGAUAUAGUAUAGAAUUUAUAAUUCGAUUUUCUUACUCUAACAUGAUAUAUCAAAUGUUAUAAUAUAUAUAUGCUUUAAAAUUUUCAAAACACAUCAUAAAUAGGAAAAAAAAUCUAUAUUUUUGUGAGUAUUUUAUAAAUCUGAAUAAUUUUUUUUAAAGAAGCUAGAAGAUAAAUAAGAUUAUAGGGGAAAACAUUAUACAAGAAAAUAAAAAAAACAAAAAAAACAAAACCACUACAUAUGCUUAUACAGAGGGGUAUAAUUGCAAUUAAUACAAAUAUAUAUUGUGUAUCCUUGCCAUUUAAUUGCUAUGGUCAUUUGUCUAAUUAAUUUUUUUUCAUGGUUAUAUUUGCCAAUUUCUCAUAAUAGUAUUGUUUUUUUUUAACGCUGAUUUAUUACGAUCUUACAAUUAUGAUAUAGGAAAUAUUACAUAGACGAUUCGACAACCGACAAUACUACCUGCCUUAUGAAGACCUACGCCUAACUGCAUCACCUGAGCCGUCCUAUGAAGAUCCACGCCUGGCCAGAUUUACUUGCACCAUGUUGAAGAUCCCUUGCAAGCUUUUCCUCUGUAGUCUGCAUAAUUGUUUAAUAAACCGCUCUCUCCGGGACUUGAAACCUAGAUUUCCUGUAAUCUGAAAUAAAUUGCAUAGUCUGGGAUUCGAACCCCAGACCUGGGUGUAGAAACAUUUAAACCUUAA
This 1502-nucleotide long non-coding RNA is filed under the name Brassica rapa (field mustard). Its description in RNAcentral is "long non-coding RNA (BRAP_LNC000266)". Lineage: Eukaryota; Viridiplantae; Streptophyta; Magnoliopsida; Brassicales; Brassicaceae. The record is from RNAcentral.